CCAGAGAUGGAUUGGUGCCUUCGGGAACGUCUGACACAGGUGCUGCAUGGCUGUCGUCAGCUCGUGUCGUGAGAUGUUGGGUUAAGUCCCGCAACGAGCGCAACCCUUGCCUUUAGUUGCCAGCAGUUCGGCUGGGCACUCUAAAGGGACUGCCGGUGUUAAACCGGAGGAAGGUGGGGAUGACGUCAAGUCCUCAUGGCCUUUAUGACCAGGGCUACACACGUACUACAAUGGCCGAUACAAAGGGCAGCGACACUGCGAGGUGAAGCCAAUCCCGUAAAAUCGGUCUCAGUCCGGAUUGGAGUCUGCAACUCGACUCCAUGAAGUUGGAAUCGCUAGUAAUCGUGGAUCAGCAUGCCACGGUGAAUACGUUCCCGGGCCUU
RNAcentral lists this ribosomal RNA (383 nucleotides) under uncultured Desulfobulbus sp. RNAcentral's name for it is "bacterial SSU rRNA". It matches the Rfam family "Bacterial small subunit ribosomal RNA", at positions 1000 to 1382 of the family's 1533-position model. The record is from RNAcentral. Lineage: Bacteria; Pseudomonadati; Thermodesulfobacteriota; Desulfobulbia; Desulfobulbales; Desulfobulbaceae.